GUGUCAGCAGCCGCGGUAAGACGGAGGGGGCAAGCGUUGUCCGGACUUACUGGGCGUAAAGCGCGUGUAGGUGGUUCGCUGCGUCGGCGCUGAAAUCUCCAGGCUUAACCUGGAGGCGCGUGCCGAUACGAGCAGACUAGAGGCAGGGAGAGGGUAGCGGAAUUCCGGGUGUAGUGGUGAAAUGCGUAGAGAUCCGGAGGAACGCCUGUAGCGAAAGCGGCUACCUGGUCCUGUCCUGACACUGAGACGCGAAAGCGUGGGGAGCGAACCGGAUUAGAUACCCUGGUAGUCC
Molecule: ribosomal RNA, 292 nt
Filed under: uncultured bacterium
Lineage: Bacteria
Description: partial 16S ribosomal RNA
Rfam family: Bacterial small subunit ribosomal RNA
Source: RNAcentral